CCUACGGGAUGCUGCAGUGAGGAAUAUUGGUCAAUGGCCGCGAGCCUGAACCAGCCAAGUAGCGUGAAGGAUGACUGCCCUACGGGUUGUAAACUUCUUUUAUAAAGGAAUAAAGUGAGGCACGUGUGCCUGUUUGCAUGUACUUUAUGAAUAAGGAUCGGCUAACUCCGUGCCAGCAGCCGCGGUAAUACGGAGGAUCCGAGCGUUAUCCGGAUUUAUUGGGUUUAAAGGGAGCGUAGAUGGGUUGUUAAGUCAGUUGUGAAAGUUUGGGGCUCAACCGUAAAAUUGCAUUUGAUACUGGCAGUCUUGAGUACGGGUGAGGUAGGCGGAAUGCGUGGUGUAGCGGUGAAAUGCUUAGAUAUCACGAAGAACUCCGAUUGCGAAGGCAGCUUACCAAACUGCCACUGACGUUGAAGCUCGAAAGUGUGGGUAUCGAACAGGAUUAGAUACCCUUGUAGUC
This 460-nucleotide ribosomal RNA is filed under the name uncultured bacterium. RNAcentral describes it as "partial 16S ribosomal RNA". It matches the Rfam family "Bacterial small subunit ribosomal RNA", at positions 338 to 795 of the family's 1533-position model. The record is from RNAcentral.